CGGUGCAUAGCGCAGCCCGGUAGCGCACCUGCCUUGGGAGCAGGGGGCCGCAGGUUCGAAUCCUGCUGCACCGACCA
This 77-nucleotide transfer RNA is filed under the name Capnocytophaga sp. RNAcentral describes it as "tRNA-Pro(tgg)". It matches the Rfam family "tRNA". From Rfam's summary of the family: Transfer RNA (tRNA) molecules are approximately 80 nucleotides in length. The record is from RNAcentral. RNAcentral also lists the same sequence under 2 other names. Lineage: Bacteria; Pseudomonadati; Bacteroidota; Flavobacteriia; Flavobacteriales; Flavobacteriaceae.